GCCCGGGUGGCUCAGUCGGUUGAGCGUCCGACUUUGGCGCAGGCCACAAUCUCACGGUUCGUGGGUUCAAGCCCCGCAUCGGGCU
This 85-nucleotide transfer RNA is filed under the name Felis catus (domestic cat). It matches the Rfam family "tRNA". From Rfam's summary of the family: Transfer RNA (tRNA) molecules are approximately 80 nucleotides in length. Their secondary structure includes four short double-helical elements and three loops (D, anti-codon, and T loops). Further hydrogen bonds mediate the characteristic L-shaped molecular structure. tRNAs have two regions of fundamental functional importance: the anti-codon, which is responsible for specific mRNA codon recognition, and the 3' end, to which the tRNAs corresponding amino acid is attached (by aminoacyl-tRNA synthetases). tRNAs cope with the degeneracy of the genetic code in two manners: having more than one tRNA (with a specific anti-codon) for a particular amino acid; and 'wobble' base-pairing, i.e. permitting non-standard base-pairing at the 3rd anti-codon position. Lineage: Eukaryota; Metazoa; Chordata; Mammalia; Carnivora; Felidae. The record is from Rfam by way of RNAcentral.